GCCCGGCUGGCACAAUUGGCUAGCGCGUGAGACUUUUAAUCUCAAGGUUCAGAGUUCGAGUCUCUGGUCGGGCG
Melanomma pulvis-pyrius CBS 109.77 is the source of this 74-nucleotide non-coding RNA. Lineage: Eukaryota; Fungi; Ascomycota; Dothideomycetes; Pleosporales; Melanommataceae. The record is from the annotation of a GenBank genome assembly.